UCCCUCAAGUAGAGUGGCGAACGGGUGAGUAACGCGUGAAGAACCUGCCUUCAACAGGGGGAUAACACUCCCAACGGGGUGCUAAUACCGCAUGAGAUCACGGGUCCGCAUGGGCCUGAGGUCAAAGGUGGCCUCUGCUUGCAAGCUACCGGUUGAGGAUGGCUUCGCGUCCCAUUAGCUAGUUGGCGGUGUAAAAGACCACCAAGGCGACGAUGGGUAGCUGGUCUGAGAGGAUGGUCAGCCACACUGGGACUGAGAUACGGCCCAGACUCCUACGGGAGGCAGCAGUCGAGAGGCUUUGGCAAUGGGGGAAACCCUGACCAAGCGACGCCGCGUGGAGGAUGAAGGCCCCUGGGUUGUAAACUCCUUUUGCUGGGGAAGAAACACGAUCAGGUGAACAAUCUGGUCGUUUGACGGUACCCGGCGAAUAAGCUCCGGCUAACUCCGUGCCAGCAGCCGCGGUAACACGGGGGGAGCAAGCGUUGUUCGGAAUCACUGGGCGUAAAGGGCGUGUAGGCGGUCAAGUAAGUGGGAUGUGAAACGCCCCGGCUCACCCGGGGACCUGCAUCCCAAACGGCUUGGCUCGAGUAUGGGAGAGGAUGAGGGAAUUCCUGGUGUAGCGGUGAAAUGCGUAGAUAUCAGGAGGAACACCGGUGGCGAAAGCGCUCAUCUGGCCCAAUACCGACGCUGAGGCGCGAAAGCUAGGGGAGCAAACGGGAUUAGAUACCCCGGUAGUCCUAGCCGUAAACGGUGAUCACUAGGUGUUGGAGGCAUCGACCCCUCCAGUGCCGCAGCUAACGCAUUAAGUGAUCCGCCUGGGGAGUACGGCCGCAAGGUUGAAACUCAAAGGAAUUGACGGGGGCUCACACAAGCGGUGG
This 878-nucleotide ribosomal RNA is filed under the name uncultured bacterium. RNAcentral describes it as "bacterial SSU rRNA". It matches the Rfam family "Bacterial small subunit ribosomal RNA", at positions 82 to 935 of the family's 1533-position model. The record is from RNAcentral.